UGGGGAAUAUUGCACAAUGGGCGCAAGCCUGAUGCAGCCAUGCCGCGUGUUUGAAGAAGGCUUUCGGGUUGUAAAGCACUUUCAGCGGGGAGGAAGGCGGUGAGGUUAAUAACCUCAUCGAUUGACGUUACCCGCAGAAGAAGCACCGGCUAACUCCGUGCCAGCAGCCGCGGUAAUACGGAGGGUGCAAGCGUUAAUUGGAAUUACUGGGCGUAAAGCGCACGCAGGCGGUCUGUCAAGUCGGAUGUGAAAUCCCCGGGCUCAACCUGGGAACUGCACUCGAAACUGGCAGGCUCGACUCUUGUAGAGGGGGGUAGAAUUCCAGGUGUAGCGGUGAAAUGCGUAGAGAUCUGGAGGAAUACCGGUGGCGAAGGCGGCCCCCUGGACAAAGACUGACGCUCAGGUGCGAAAACGUGGGGAGCAAACAGG
This 429-nucleotide ribosomal RNA is filed under the name Chloroflexota bacterium. RNAcentral's name for it is "Chloroflexi bacterium partial 16S ribosomal RNA". It matches the Rfam family "Bacterial small subunit ribosomal RNA", at positions 355 to 776 of the family's 1533-position model. The record is from RNAcentral. Lineage: Bacteria; Bacillati; Chloroflexota.